GCUGAAAUUGUUCAAUUCGUUAGAACAUGUAGCCCUUAACCACAAGGUUGGAGGUUUAAGUCCUCCUUCUAGUG
Molecule: transfer RNA, 74 nt
Filed under: Glycine max (soybean)
Lineage: Eukaryota; Viridiplantae; Streptophyta; Magnoliopsida; Fabales; Fabaceae
Rfam family: tRNA
About the family: Transfer RNA (tRNA) molecules are approximately 80 nucleotides in length. Their secondary structure includes four short double-helical elements and three loops (D, anti-codon, and T loops).
Source: Rfam by way of RNAcentral